This 377-nucleotide ribosomal RNA is filed under the name uncultured bacterium. RNAcentral's name for it is "bacterial SSU rRNA". It matches the Rfam family "Bacterial small subunit ribosomal RNA", at positions 521 to 896 of the family's 1533-position model. The record is from RNAcentral.
UAAGACGAACCGCACAAACGUUAUUCGGAAUCACUGGGCUUAAAGGGUGCGUAGGCGGUGCGGAAAGUUGGGUGUGAAAUCCCUCGGCUCAACCGAGGAACUGCGCCCAAAACUACCGUGCUUGAGGGAGAUAGAGGUGAGUGGAACUUAGGGUGGAGCGGUGAAAUGCGUUGAUAUCCUAAGGAACACCAGUGGCGAAAGCGACUCACUGGAUCUCUUCUGACGCUGAGGCACGAAAGCUAGGGGAGCAAACGGGAUUAGAUACCCCGGUAGUCCUAGCUGUAAACGAUGAGCACUAGGUUGGAGAGUCUUCCAUAACUUUCCAGCCGUAGCGAAAGUGUUAAGUGCUCCGCCUGGGGAGUAUGGUCGCAAGGCUG